Molecule: long non-coding RNA, 1410 nt
Filed under: Arabidopsis thaliana (thale cress)
Lineage: Eukaryota; Viridiplantae; Streptophyta; Magnoliopsida; Brassicales; Brassicaceae
Description: potential natural antisense gene, locus overlaps with AT2G45310 (AT2G45315)
Source: RNAcentral
CGGAACGUCACCGUUUCGUGGCAUCUUAAUCAAAUUCUUCUUCGCCUUCACUUUCAAUUGUCUCUCCAAUAUCCUCACCAGAUCUGAAACCGGCACCGGCGACGUGUUUCCGAGGUUAAACACUCUCAAUUGCGCCGGACCUCUCUUCUUCCCUCCACUCCCUGUACUCUUCUCCGCCGUAUCUAGCGCCGCUAAACAUCCCUUCACUAUAUCGUCUAUGUAAGUGAAAUCCCUAGCCACCGUUCCGUGAUUCGCCGAUUCGAAUAUCGAAAUCGAUUUGCCUUUUAGAAUAUCUUUAGUGAAGAAGAAAUACGCCAUGUCUGGUCUUCCCCAAGGUCCAUACACGGUGAAAAAUCUUAAUCCGGUUAGAGAUAAUCCAUAGAUGUGGUUGUAGGUAUGUGCGAUCUCUUCGCCGGCUUUUUUAGUGGCGGCGUAUAAACUCGCCGGUUGAUCUGUUUUAUCUUUCUCCGAGAACGGAACUUUGGUGUUGAGUCCGUAGACGGAGCUAGACGAAGCCCAGACUAUAGCAGGUUGUGGAUUCACAGAUUUGCAGAUCUCGAGGAGAUUGACGAAUCCGGCGAUGUUGCUAUGAACGUACGAGCUAGGGUUUUCCAUUGCGUACCGUACACCAGCUUGAGCUGCUAAAUGCAUAACGUGUGUGAAGGAGACGAUCUUGAAUAGCUUACGGAGUAAUUCGACGUCGUUUAUGUCUCCUUCUACGAUGAAGAUCCCACUUCUCUCGAGUAAAGCUCGUCUUGCUCGUUUCAGAGAUGGAUCGUAGUAAUCGUUGAAGUUGUCGAGGCCGAUUACGCCGUCUCCGCGGCGUUUUAAUGCGGCGGAGACGUGUGUUCCGACGAAACCAGCUGCUCCGGUUACUAAAACUGUGAUUCCGUUGUUUGUUGAGGUUCGGAUUCGAGCUGAGGAUCUGAGACGUUUUUCCCAAGCUGGUCCUCCGUAGGUGUUGGUUCGGAGUGAACGGCGAGAUGGAUCGGACGGUGAAGAAGGGUUAAUGGACGGUGGAGAUCGGAGGAAGAGUAGAGAGAUGAGACAGAGGAGGAAGAAGGAGAAAAAUGCAAACUUUGUGAGAGAAGAUUGGAAUCUGAGACGAUGCAAGUAGGAAGAUUUCUCCAUCUUGAAUUUGCCUGGGCUUGAAGGGAAAAUAUGAAGAAGAAGAAGAAGAAGAAGAAGAAGAAGAAGAAGAAGAAGAAGAAGAAGAGAGUCAAAAAAAUUACUGUAAAAAUUUGUUGACUCUUCUAAAGAUUUGUUGUCGAGUCUUGAAAUUUGAUUGGUGAGAUACUAAUACUCCAAGAUUUUCGGGAAGCCACUCGUCCCAAAAGUUUUGAAUUUGAACCAAAGUUUUAAACUUUUGUUAAUAGAUUUGUUUUGCGGAUAGUUGCUAAAUACAAAAAU